AUGGGGGAUCGUUACCUGGACAAACAAGUUCAGAAUUUUGGAGAACCUUUCUUUAUGGUUAUUCGCGAGGAUGAGACCUUAUCUUCUAUUAAAGAACGUUUACAGAAAAAGCUUAAGGUCUCAGAUGAGGAUUUCUCAAAGGGGCGCAGGGUUCAGUUCGACGGUGACGAGCCAGGCAGCCGGCCUUCGCAUAACGAACUGGUGCAGUUCGAUCUUGUGCAAAUCGGAAAUCCCCUGAUGCUGAGUGUGUCAGUACAACCCUAUGCUUUAAGGCACACAUGCAUCCACUCCACGUGUUAG
This 300-nucleotide ribosomal RNA is filed under the name Triticum aestivum (bread wheat). Its description in RNAcentral is "partial small subunit ribosomal RNA". Lineage: Eukaryota; Viridiplantae; Streptophyta; Magnoliopsida; Poales; Poaceae. The record is from RNAcentral.